Molecule: non-coding RNA, 201 nt
Organism: Pelobates cultripes (western spadefoot toad)
Lineage: Eukaryota; Metazoa; Chordata; Amphibia; Anura; Pelobatidae
Source: the annotation of a GenBank genome assembly
GAUAAACUAUGUGACACUGGACUUGGACACCGACUCCCAGUAACUCACUUGGCCACUGAGGAGGGAGGCUGGCACUCUCCCCUCCUGACUGUAUGGCCUGCUGCUGGGGAUGGGAAAGACAGUUUCCACUUCCAGUAACUCAGACUGCCGCUGGGGAGGCAGGCGAUACUUUCCUCUCCCUGAAAAAACAACUGCCGUCUG